Molecule: ribosomal RNA, 503 nt
Filed under: Chloronia mirifica
Lineage: Eukaryota; Metazoa; Arthropoda; Insecta; Megaloptera; Corydalidae
Description: partial 16S ribosomal RNA
Rfam family: Bacterial large subunit ribosomal RNA
Source: RNAcentral
GUCUUUUUGAUAAAAAUAUAAAGUCUAGCCUGCCCACUGAAUAAUUUGAAGGGCCGCGGUAUUUUGACUGUGCAAAGGUAGCAUAAUCAUUAGUCUUUUAAUUGAAGGCUUGUAUGAAUGGUUGGAUGAAAUAUUAACUGUCUCAAAUUAAUAUUUAGAAAUUAAUUUUUAAGUUAAAAAGCUUAAAUUAAAUUAGAGGACGAGAAGACCCUAUAGAUCUUUAUAAUAAAUAUAUUAUAAAUAAUUUAGUUAAUUGUAAUUUGUAAUUUAUUAAUUAUUUUGUUGGGGUGACAGAUAAAUUUAGUAAACUUUAUUUAAUAUAAACAUUUAUUUAUGAAUAAUUGAUCCAUUAUUAGUGAUUAUAAGAUUAAGUUACCUUAGGGAUAACAGCGUAAUUUUUUUAGAGAGUUCAUAUCGAUAAGAAAGUUUGCGACCUCGAUGUUGAAUUAAAGAUUAGUUUAGGUGCAGAAGUUUAAAUUUUUGGUCUGUUCGACCAUUAAAUC